RNAcentral lists this ribosomal RNA (254 nucleotides) under uncultured bacterium. Its description in RNAcentral is "partial 16S ribosomal RNA". It matches the Rfam family "Bacterial small subunit ribosomal RNA", at positions 524 to 776 of the family's 1533-position model. The record is from RNAcentral.
CACGUAGGGGGCGAGCGUUGUCCGGAUUUAUUGGGCGUAAAGAGCUCGUAGGCGGCUCAGUAAGUCAGGUGCGAAAACUCCAGGCUCAACCUGGAGACGCCACCUGAUACUGCUGUGGCUAGAGUCCGGUAGGGGAGCAUGGAAUUCCUGGUGUAGCGGUGAAAUGCGCAGAUAUCAGGAGGAACACCAGUGGCGAAGGCGGUGCUCUGGGCCGGAACUGACGCUGAGGAGCGAAAGCGUGGGGAGCAAACAGG